RNAcentral lists this long non-coding RNA (662 nucleotides) under Equus caballus (horse). RNAcentral describes it as "lncRNA (ENSECAG00000056199.1)". The record is from RNAcentral. Lineage: Eukaryota; Metazoa; Chordata; Mammalia; Perissodactyla; Equidae.
AUUUGUCUAAUGUUUUUCUGUCAAUUGACCAGAUAUUUUUGUUGAAAACUUUUUAUUUAAAGAGGAAACUUCGUAUCAAGACUAUAAACAGAAAAGCAGCACCAGUUUGCUAUACCCAGAGGACUUAAAAUAGCUACAGACCCCCAAAGGAGCGGGCUGUGAGUCUGGUGAGACGACUGGAAUGUGGGUGCUAGAGGUGCACUGCCUGGGCUCCGAUCGGGCUGACACCCGACCAACUCUAUGAGUUUGUGCUUGAACCUCUGUCUUCUCAUCUGUGACCCAGGGUGAUGCUCACCUCCUAAGACCUUUAUGACGACUCAGUGAGCAAAAUGCCUGGCCUCGGUGGAAAGAGGUUUCCUGUCCAGAGCUGCAGGCAGGCGCUGAGGCUGGAGCCCAAGCCAAAAGCGCUGCUCCAGGCUUUUCCACGAUGCUGAGUCCAAACCGCCUCAGCCGUCUUCACUCAGGGCAGCGCUCCCUCCAGUGAGGAGCCGUCCACACCGGCAGCCAUGCCCGGACUCGCUUAGGAAGAGCAGAGCGGCAGAGAGAAGGGGCUGGCUGCCCGGCUGGCUGAACCUAGCCCACCCAGGUUUCACCUACGCUGCUGAGCAAAGGGUCGAAGAACAGCUAAUUAAAAGCACCACUUCUCACGCUGGAGAAAAUAC